GAAUUUUUUAAAUAAACUCGGCUAUCACCGACAGUGUUUUUAAAAAUCGGGGGAAAAAUCCCUUUAAGUACAGUACGGUAUUAUUAUAUUUUAUGUAGAGUAAAAUUCUUCGUAAUAAUUUAAUCGGUAGAUGUCCAAAUGUUAAAAUUUUUACUUUGGUUUUGGUAAAUGGUGGAAAUAAUUUCUCCCAAGCCGGUUUGUACGGCCAGAUUAUCGUGACCAAUUUUGACCGUUCAACGUUCGUUAAUGACGCCGUCAUAAAGGAAUCUUCAUCGACCAACCGAUAAAACGAACGGACACCAGGGACGAUUUCCGAUAGGAGCUUAGAUGGGUAUGAUCCGACCGACUAGGAGGAUAAAAUAAGAAAGGUGGUAUUAACUUUAGUAAUGUGGCCAUCGGGAUGUUUAAAACCGGAUAAAAGAUCAGACUUUCUAAGUAACCCAACCGGACGGGACCGAGAACCAUCGGUCGGACCAUUAGCUGGCUUACGGAAUAGGAAAAUUUUUCGCGCCCCACACAAAUCGGCUACCGAAUAAUUUCGGUCCAAACUCGCUCUUUUAUUAAAUAUAAUUCAGGCGCGCCAUCUGACGGUGAUCGGCAUUUUUACCCAGAAGGCCGUGGGAACCGUGUCGCGGGAAACGGUCGGUACCAGCGCGGGCCGCUAUAGCCAGUCGGCCUUCCGCCUUUUAAGGCCAAUGCCAACCACCGCCGGAGAAUAAUUCGGCGGGUAGAAGGCCAAACACUCGUUUCUAUCCAACCACCGUCCAAAUAUAAAUUUACCAUUCCAGGAGAAAAUAGGCCAACGUACUUUGUGUCUGGCUAAGUUACGCCGGAAAACCGACAUUUAGAGAAAGUUGAGAAAACGCUCCGACCGGGCCGGAUGGUUCUUCGGCUGGUCGGAGAGUAGAAUCACCUGGCCCGGUCCGAUAGUUAAGAAUAGUUUUCCAAGCUGCACUCGGGAAUCGUUUUACUGGUGUGGUAGACUUCUCCGUUCGGACGGAUCCGAUAGAAGACGGACUGGUAAAGUGUCCGAAAGAUGGCGCCCGUCAUAAUUUUCUCGGUCCAACCGUAUCUCGGUUGGGUGGGAUUCGGCCCGAGUCGAUGUCGAGAUGGCCGAGACCCAGACUUUGAGGCAGGAUUUCUGUCGGUCCGACCAUUAAUCGGCGCGCUAGACCACGGAACAUAAAGGAACCGAGUCGGAUAGGCGGUAUUUUGUCCACCCGACCGGUGGCAAAUAUCUAAACGGUAGGGCCGAGAGGUAUGGAAAGUAAUGUCGGAAACUGGGUUAAGUUUUUAUCCGGAUAGUAUAGAACCGUACCGUUUCGGUUAGGUUAGUUAAGUGGCCAUACGGCGCACCUCACCAGCUCCGUAUCUUGUCGGAGAAUAAUUUGGCGAUUAGGGCUGAAACAAGGAGCCCAGCAAUAAACACCAUAUUUUAAUCCCGCUCGGGGUUAAAAUACGGUGUUUAUCUGUCGGUUAAGUAGUCGAAGUCGGGCCGAUAGUAAUUUUUAAAAGUAUCGAAAUCCGUCUGGAUUUACCUCUCCGAGAAUCUGCGGGUCGGAAGGCGCCCGGGCGUAAUUUUCUUUAACGCGAUACCGUGGGAUGGAAAUUUUCCGGGAUCCAGCUGGGUAAUAGGUUUAAAAGUAAAGUAAUGACCCAGCCAGAAUAGUCGGAAAGAACUCUUCUGAUGGAUUUGGAUAUAAAAGCUGGGUUAACCAUUAGUUAAUACAUUCUCCGGGAAGGGGGGCGCCGAAUCCCCGUCACCCGUCCACUAAACCGGGAAAUAAGGAAAUUUUAUCUCGGAGGAAGGACGACCGGCCUUAUUUAAUUAAGUGUCUACAGAUGGCGCUACCUUUAACUAUCACUACGACUAGCCGAGAUAUUGGGGCGAUCACUCCAACCGGUAGCCAGUAGAAUCCGGGCCGGUUAAUAGGAGACGGAAUAAAACGGCCGGAUGGGCCACCCUCCGUCCCACGGAGAAACCCAUCGAUUACUAAGCGUAUAGAAAACACAAUUUGGACGGAUGCGAGAGCGGGAGAAAAUCCGUUUCUCCGGCUGCCGCUCCAUCAGCCGUAGGGAAGAGGAAGGAAGGGUCGAAGUCCGAGGGGUCUCGGGCGGAGCCCCCUGGCCGGGCGAGGUCGACCGGUGGUCGAUGGAUCGACUAAUAAAAGUCGAAAUCGGAACGCGUCCAAGGUCACCGCCAACCGCUAAGCCGGCGCCUAUAUAAAGGCCAGCGGGACCGGCACCGGCGCUACCGUCGUCCGGAAAUGAACAGAUUGGUAGGUGACCAGCCGGAACUUUUCUUCUUCUUUUGGGUUGGUGACCGGCCCGACUGACUCUGAUCUUUGCUAGGUGAUCGUCUGGUUGCUGCUGGUCCUGAUGGAAGGCUCCCGGACCGAAUACGUGGGUUACUUGUCUUCCGACCGCUACUACGGAUACAAGAGAGUGGGCUACAACAGUCGCUACGGUACUCCCAACUAUAGCAUCCAACUGAGUGGCAACAAGGAGGCCGCUCCGCUUCCGUCCGCCUAUCCAGCCGCCGGCUCGGCCCGGGGCUUCUACAGUUACACCGACAUUCGCCACUGACCGCCGGGCUGGGCCGCUGUACGUUUACCGUCGGUCGACCCACCCGGGCCCGCUAAUCCCGCUGCCAUCCACCCGGUCGAUGUCGAGCCAUAGAAAUGUAAAAAUUGGGUGGAACGUCGGAUGGGACCGACAUCUUAUGUACUAAAGAAAAAAAUGCGGAAUUUGUUACGGAAUAAAGUGCCGCGGCGUAAUUAGGCUCAUCUGUAUAUUGUCUUUCAUUAUUAAUUCGUUAAAUCGUGCCAUAUUAAAUAUAACUCAGGUGAAAUAUGUUCGGAUAGAACAAAUUUUUUAUCCAUCGGUUUCUCUCAUUCUUUCGAUCCAACCGCGUUUCUCGCCUCCGCAUUCGGAGCUUAGCCACCGUUAAAACCGAGUUACAUCUAGCAGACAAUAAUACCUUUGGGUGGAGCGGAGCUCUAUCAAAAACCAAUUAAUAGGCAAAUUUUGAUUAAUGACUAUUAUGACAGUGGCCAAACUGCCACACGCGGCUCUUCGCUACCUUCGAUGUGGCUCCGUACCGGGACAGUCGAGUUAAUCCCUUCUGGCCGUGGUCUGUAAUAUGGACACACCACCAAUCGAAGUAGUCGGAUGCCGAGCCUAACCUGAUUUCGGGCGGUCGAAGUAACUUUAAAGCCCUGGCUAGCCACAGGGCCGGCUAUGGUAAGAAAGAAACGCUUUCCCACCGCCACGUUUUCUUAAUACCCGGUGAAAAUCGAUUUUUCCUUAAAAUUUAUCGGUGGUAAAUUAAAAAAUAUAUAUUUAUACGGCAUAUAUAUUAUUUAACAUAAAUAAUAACGCUUAACGCUUGUCUUUCCAUGACAGUAUCUGGGGUUAACGGCGCUUCUACUAUAUCAGUAUAUACUAUUUAAUCAUAAGCACCGAGUGGGAUUUUAUCUCGGCCGAUAAAUAUUCUUUGCCGGAGGACGGUCGAGCCUUCCCUUCCCGGACCGGUGGCAGUGGCCGCGGGCUCUAUUCCACCCGGCCCGUAUCGCCCGCUGAUAUUCGUAUGGGCGGCCGAAAACCGGUGACGGAAGCGCUUUGGCCUUUUCCCCCAUAAAUCGCCACUACCCCGGA
Molecule: long non-coding RNA, 3657 nt
Filed under: Androctonus crassicauda
Lineage: Eukaryota; Metazoa; Arthropoda; Arachnida; Scorpiones; Buthidae
Source: RNAcentral